This 434-nucleotide ribosomal RNA is filed under the name uncultured bacterium. RNAcentral describes it as "partial 16S ribosomal RNA". It matches the Rfam family "Bacterial small subunit ribosomal RNA", at positions 29 to 507 of the family's 1533-position model. The record is from RNAcentral.
AGCGAACGCUGGCGGCAGGCCUAACACAUGCAAGUCGAACGAACCUUUCGGGGUUAGUGGCGGACGGGUGAGUAACACGGGGGAACGUGCCUGUAGGUUCGGAAUAACUCAGGGAAACUUGUGCUAAUACCGAAUGUGCCAUUCGGGGGAAAGAUUUAUCGCCUUUAGAGCGGCCCGCGUCUGAUUAGCUAGUUGGGUGAGGUAAUGGCUCACCAAGGCGACGAUCAGUAGCUGGUCUGAGAGGAUGAUCAGCCACAUUGGGACUGAGACACGGCCCAAACUCCUACGGGAGGCAGCAGUGGGGAAUCUUGCGCAAUGGGCGAAAGCCUGACGCAGCCAUGCCGCGUGAAUGAUGAAGGUCUUAGGAUUGUAAAAUUCUUUCACCGGGGACGAUAAUGACGGUACCCGGAGAAGAAGCCCCGGCUAACUUCGUG